This 262-nucleotide long non-coding RNA is filed under the name Zostera marina. RNAcentral's name for it is "long non-coding RNA (ZMAR_LNC004530)". Lineage: Eukaryota; Viridiplantae; Streptophyta; Magnoliopsida; Alismatales; Zosteraceae. The record is from RNAcentral.
ACACCCCUAGGACCCCUUUUAUAGGGUCCUAGAGGCGUUUCCAUUCAAUAGAGUGGGGCCCACCUCAUUAUGGUGCCCUAUUGAAGGGUGCCAUAAUGGGGUGGGCCCGCCCGCGUAACGGCUGGGAGUCGGCGACUCAGGUGUGGGAGUCGCCGAUCCAGGAGUGGAAUCGCCGAUUCCUUGGAGGCCAAGUCCUCGGUCUACCAGACCCGAGAUCCCUGGCUGGAAUCGGCGAUUCACCCUUGGAGUCGGCGACUUGGUA